This 2230-nucleotide long non-coding RNA is filed under the name Anas platyrhynchos platyrhynchos (common mallard). Its description in RNAcentral is "lncRNA (ENSAPLG00000026929.1)". Lineage: Eukaryota; Metazoa; Chordata; Aves; Anseriformes; Anatidae. The record is from RNAcentral.
AUGAAAAAUGAAGAAAGCAAAGCCAUGAGAAAAUCCAGCAGGGUGUGGCUGGACCUCUCUGGAGCAGAAGGACAACAGGAGACACAGAGAAGACAACAGAUCAUCAAAAAGCAGCAGCACUGCUCCACACUGCUGGGGUUUAUGGGGAGAGUGCAUGUCCUGUCCCCUGUCUUUUAUAAUUCAUCACCAGGCACCUCUGAACCAACUGACAGGCAACAGGCACAGCUUCAGAGGGCAAACCCAGGCUGUAUUCUGUUACCUUUGCAAGCCCCAGCACUGGGACUGGUUAGCACUAUUUUUUUGCCCACAUAUUUACCUGCAGUGGCCAGGAUUCACAUGUACAAGAUUUCCUAUAGCACUUCAUUGUCCCUUGUGUUUUGGGGGAAUGGCAAAAAGGCAUGCAGCAGGAAGCAUCUGGCAAGAGCACAUUAGAGCUUGCAAAACCCUGCCUGGCACCAAUGCUCCCAAAGGAAACUGUUUUUCUCUGACACUUGUGGAGUAAGACAAGUCUACCCUUGGCAUCUGCCACUUCUGCAGUGUUUCAUCUGUGAAAUGGAGGAUUUCCUUCAGCACGAUAAGAAAAGUGCUCUGCUUUUCAUCUCCUGUGACUGGGGAGAUGGUAUUUGUUAUGCAAGAGGUCAUUCUUUAUUUGGGGUGAGGGAUGAGGGUCUGAAUUUUUAAUGUCUUCAUCUAUUUUUGAUCCCUUAUGGACUAAAAGGGGUCUUACUUGAUCAUUUUCCCAUUACCUCCAGUGAGCCUGCAGUCUCCCAGAAGAUGCCCUACCUCCCACUGGAGCUUCCUUCACCCUUAAGGGGGCAAAGGCCAUAAAUCUUCAUCAUGCUUGUAAUGGGUAUACUCAAAAAAGCCACCAUUUUCCUGGAAAAAAAAAAUAUCAAUUUUUCUCCCACACAGACAUAUUAUCCACAAAUAUCUUUUGCAGUAUUGGGUGGGAGUGUGGACAUAAACAGGUCCAUUCCAGGUUUUCCUUUGACUAGAUGGGAAUACAAGUUGCCACACAUUCCUAUGUGGGAUCCAGAAGGAAAACCAAAGGGUAAAUACCCUACACGUGGCAAGGAUUAUAGGUGCAAGAGACUGGGUGCUGACAGCAGUUUCUAGUGGAUGACAUGACAAAGUCGAAUCAUGUAAUAUGUGCUUCCACAGCACCUGAUGAAGCAGAAGUGCUAAAUACCUUGUAAGAUUAAGCCCUAGAGGAGUAUCACUGACACCAGAUCAUGUAUUCAGCUGGGCUGUGAUACUACUCUCUACAUAUCACAACCAAGCCUCUGCACUCCCUGAUGAAAACUUCUGGCCUUAAUGCUGUGGAUUAUGUUGGCAUGGCUACUAACACAACGGGACCAGCCAGGAUUGAAAGUAUGCGUUGGGGAUGAGGGCUGCAGGAAAGAUCUAAAAAGAAGAGAUGCACUUUGCAACUUAGAAAGCAGUUGUUACAUUGUCCCGGUCCCACUGCUGGUGGUGCUCUGCAGUUUGAAUAUAUUCCUUCACAAACAGAUUUUGGGGCAGAAGGAGAGGUCUGAGUGAAAUGUAUGGCAUAAUGAUGCCCUGCACAAAGGAAAAGGAUGAACUGGAAGGGAAGAGGGAGAAGGGAACCUGGCACAUUCAAGUUGUCUCACAAAUAAGCUUGGGAAUGACUGAAACAAAAGAAGGAAUAUUGCUCACCUGCCUGCAGGCUGAAGGAUGCCAUGCUGUAUGCAUGUCCAAGACCAGCUGCUGGCAUGCCAACUUUGGUGCAAAUCCUCUGGUGCCUUUAAAGGCCGAAACUUGUGAUUUUUAUAUAUUUGCCAAAAAUGAAUAUCUGAUAUGAAAUUAUUGUUGUGCAUUUGACGUUUUAAAUGUAUUAUCCAAUUAAAAAGCAGUAACAUCUGCUCCCGUGCACUAAACUUCCUGUAAGUAAAGAUGCACAAGCCCUGGAGAUUCAGCAUUACGUGAAAUAGAUUCAUUUAAUAUAAUUGAACAUAAUUGUGCAUGUAAUGUUUUAACGUCAUAUUAUUCAGCAGAUUUGCAAAUAAUAGCUAGGUUACUUGCCACCAGCCAUAUGCUGGUGACAUGAUGGCACAAGCACCAUAAUACUCAUCAAGACAAGUUCAUUACUCUGAGGGCACUGGAACUGAGAUGUUGUGGUGACCUGGGGACACUAACGUAUGCCUUGAGGAAACACCAACACCAGAUACCAGGUAAUAAAAUUUCUUGCCCUCUGUUGGUAAGAGAGACU